CCCCCUAUAGGGUCCCAGAACCCCCCCCUAUAGGGCCCCAUAAAUACUGCCCCUAUAGGGCCCCGCAGCCCCUAUAGAGCCCCAUAAAUACCCUAUAGGGCCCCCGAGCCCCCUAUAUGGCCCUAUAGGACCCCAUAAAUACUGCCCCUAUAGGGCCCUACAGCCCCUAUAGGGCCCCAUAAAUACCCUAUAGGGCCCCCGAGCCCCCUAUAUGGCCCUAUAGCCCCUAUAGGGCCCCGUAAAUACCCUAUAGAGCCCCCGAGCCCCCUAUAUGGCCCUAUAGGGCCCCGUAAAUACUGCCCCUACAAAUACUGCCCCUAUAGGGCCCCCGCAGCCCCCUAUAUGGCCCUACAACCCCUAUAGGGCCCCAUAAAUACCCUAUAGGGCCCCCGAGCCCCCUAUAUGGCCCUAUAGGCCCUAUAGGGCCCCAUAAAUACUGACCCCAUAAAUACUGCCCCUAUAG
This 463-nucleotide long non-coding RNA is filed under the name Anas platyrhynchos platyrhynchos (common mallard). RNAcentral describes it as "lncRNA (ENSAPLG00000029094.1)". The record is from RNAcentral. Lineage: Eukaryota; Metazoa; Chordata; Aves; Anseriformes; Anatidae.